AACGCACAUUGCGCCCCUUGGUAUUCCGAGGGGCAUGCCUGUUCGAGCGUCAUUACACCACUCAAGCACCGCUUGGUAUUGGGCAUCGUCCGUCGAAAGGCGGGCGUGCCUCGAAGACCUCGGCGGGGUUUCUCCAACUUCGGGCGUAGUAGAGUUAAAUCAAAACGUCUUAUAAGCUUGGUGAGAUCUCAUUGCCGUUAAACCUUUUAUUUUUUCAGGUUGACCUCGGAUCAGGUAGGGAUACCCGCUGAACUUAA
RNAcentral lists this unclassified non-coding RNA (257 nucleotides) under uncultured Endoconidioma. RNAcentral describes it as "sequence contains ITS2". The stretch from base 1 to 52 matches the Rfam family "5.8S ribosomal RNA", at positions 103 to 154 of the family's 154-position model. The record is from RNAcentral. Lineage: Eukaryota; Fungi; Ascomycota.